RNAcentral lists this ribosomal RNA (1361 nucleotides) under uncultured bacterium. Its description in RNAcentral is "16S ribosomal RNA". It matches the Rfam family "Bacterial small subunit ribosomal RNA", at positions 28 to 1386 of the family's 1533-position model. The record is from RNAcentral.
GAUGAACGCUGGCGGCGUGCUUAACACAUGCAAGUCGAACGAAGCACUUUAUUUGAUUUCCUUCGGGACUGAUUAUUUUGUGACUGAGUGGCGGACGGGUGAGUAACGCGUGGGUAACCUGCCUUGUACAGGGGGAUAACAGUUGGAAACGGCUGCUAAUACCGCAUAAGCGCACAGCAUCGCAUGAUGCAGUGUGAAAAACUCCGGUGGUAUAAGAUGGACCCGCGUUGGAUUAGCUAGUUGGUGAGGUAACGGCCCACCAAGGCGACGAUCCAUAGCCGACCUGAGAGGGUGACCGGCCACAUUGGGACUGAGACACGGCCCAAACUCCUACGGGAGGCAGCAGUGGGGAAUAUUGCACAAUGGGCGAAAGCCUGAUGCAGCGACGCCGCGUGAGCGAAGAAGUAUUUCGGUAUGUAAAGCUCUAUCAGCAGGGAAGAUAAUGACGGUACCUGACUAAGAAGCACCGGCUAAAUACGUGCCAGCAGCCGCGGUAAUACGUAUGGUGCAAGCGUUAUCCGGAUUUACUGGGUGUAAAGGGAGCGCAGGCGGUGCGGCAAGUCUGAUGUGAAAGCCCGGGGCUCAACCCCGGUACUGCAUUGGAAACUGUCGUACUAGAGUGUCGGAGGGGUAAGCGGAAUUCCUAGUGUAGCGGUGAAAUGCGUAGAUAUUAGGAGGAACACCAGUGGCGAAGGCGGCUUACUGGACGAUAACUGACGCUGAGGCUCGAAAGCGUGGGGAGCAAAGCAGGAUGAGAUACCCUGGUAGUCCACGCCGUAAACGAUGGAAUAAUAGGUGUGGGGAAGCAUUGCUUCUCGGGGCCGUCGCCAACGCAGCAAGUAUUCCACCUGGGGGGUGCGUUCGCACGAAAGAAACUCAAAGGAAAUGACGGGGACCCGCACAAGCGGUGGAGCACGUGGUUUAAUUCGAAGCAACGCGAAGAACCCUACCAAGUCUUGAGAUCCUUCUGACCGGUACUUAAUCGUACCUUCUCUUCUGUGCAGGAGUGACAGGUGGUGCAUGGUUGUCGUCAGCUCGUGUCGUGAGAUGUUGGGUUAAGUCCCGCAACGAGCGCAACCCUCAUCUUUAGUAGCCAGCGGUUCGGCCGGGCACUCUAGAGAGACUGCCAGGGAUAACCUGGAGGAAGGCGGGGAGGACGUCAAAUCAUCAUGCCCCCUAUGACUUGGGCUACACACGUGCUACAAUGGCGUAAACAAAGGGAAGCAAAGCUGUGAAGCCGAGCAAAUCUCAAAAAUAACGUCUCAGUUCGGACUGUAGUCUGCAACCCGACUACACGAAGCUGGAAUCGCUAGUAAUCGCAGAUCAGAAUGCUGCGGUGAAUAAAAUCCCGGGUCUUGCAC